RNAcentral lists this ribosomal RNA (253 nucleotides) under uncultured bacterium. Its description in RNAcentral is "partial 16S ribosomal RNA". It matches the Rfam family "Bacterial small subunit ribosomal RNA", at positions 524 to 776 of the family's 1533-position model. The record is from RNAcentral.
UGCAGAGGUCCCAAGCGUUGUUCGGAUUCACUGGGCGUAAAGGGUGCGUAGGUGGCCAGGUAAGUUCGGUGUGAAAGCUCGGAGCUUAACUCCGAAAUGGCAUUGAAUACUAUCUGGCUAGAGGGUCGGAGGGGAGACUGGAAUUCUCGGUGUAGCAGUGAAAUGCGUAGAUAUCGAGAGGAACACCAGUGGCGAAGGCGAGUCUCUGGACGACUCCUGACACUGAGGCACGAAAGCCAGGGGAGCAAACAGG